UAGGGAAUCUUCGGCAAUGGGGGCAACCCUGACCGAGCAACGCCGCGUGAGUGAAGAAGGUUUUCGGAUCGUAAAGCUCUGUUGUAAGAGAAGAACGUGUGUGAGAGUGGAAAGUUCACACAGUGACGGUAACUUACCAGAAAGGGACGGCUAACUACGUGCCAGCAGCCGCGGUAAUACGUAGGUCCCGAGCGUUGUCCGGAUUUCUUGGGCGUAAAGCGAGCGCAGGCGGCUUAAUAAGUCUGAAGUUAAAGGCAGUGGCUUAACCAUUGUUCGCUUUGGAAACUGUUAAACUUGAGUGCAGAAGGGGAGAGUGGAAUUCCAUGUGUAGCGGUGAAAUGCGUAGAUAUAUGGAGGAACACCGGUGGCGAAAGCGGCUCUCUGGUCUGUAACUGACGCUGAGGCUCGAAAGCGUGGGGAGCAAACAGG
RNAcentral lists this ribosomal RNA (429 nucleotides) under bacterium. RNAcentral describes it as "partial 16S ribosomal RNA". It matches the Rfam family "Bacterial small subunit ribosomal RNA", at positions 355 to 776 of the family's 1533-position model. The record is from RNAcentral.